GGCUGAAAGAAAAAUCGGAUGAC
RNAcentral lists this non-coding RNA (23 nucleotides) under Cricetulus griseus (Chinese hamster). The record is from RNAcentral. Lineage: Eukaryota; Metazoa; Chordata; Mammalia; Rodentia; Cricetidae.